RNAcentral lists this ribosomal RNA (460 nucleotides) under uncultured bacterium. RNAcentral's name for it is "partial 16S ribosomal RNA". It matches the Rfam family "Bacterial small subunit ribosomal RNA", at positions 338 to 795 of the family's 1533-position model. The record is from RNAcentral.
CCUACGGGAGGCAGCAGUGAGGAAUAUUGGUCAAUGGCCGGAAGGCUGAACCAGCCAUGCCGCGUGAAGGUCAGUGCCCUAUGGGCGUUAAACUUCUUUUGUGCGGGAGCAAUAAUGGUCACGUGUGGCCAGACGAGAGUACCGUACGAAUAAGCAUCGGCUAACUCCGGUCCAGCAGCCGCGGUAAUACGGGGGAUGCAAGCGUUAUCCGGAUUUAUUGGGUUUAAAGGGUGCGUAGGCUGUGAGGUAAGUCAGCGGUGAAAUGCCCCCGCUCAACGGGGUGAAGUGCCAUUGAUACUGACGUGCUGGAAUGCGGAUGCCGUGGGAGGAAUGUGUGGUGUAGCGGUGAAAUGCAUAGAUAUCACACAGAACACCGAUUGCGAAGGCAUCUCACGAAGCCGCGAUUGACGCUGAUGCACGAAAGCGUGGGUAUCAAACAGGAUUAGAUACCCCAGUAGUC